UUUGCGUAUCAUCUGAUAAACUAGCGUACUGUAGAGCAAGCCAGUCCUACUUCAGUGCUGUAGACAGGCAUUAAUGCUUUUGUGGAAUUACUGAUAGUGAUGGCUGAUGAAUAUUCUUUCUACCCAUUUUCUUCUCUAAAUAUUUUAGGGAAAAAAAAAAAAAAAGAAUCCAUAAUGAGAAUAAAUGAAGUAUUUCUUUACUAAAAUCCUUCUGCACAUCCCUCCUUCCACUCCGGAUGCACAAAGAAUUUGAGGAAGGAUUCUGGUUUUGACUUUGGUCCAAGGACAAGCCUCAGGUGUUGUAAGGCUCCUCAGCAUCACCCGUCACUCAGCUGGUGCGAAGCUCUGAGACGGGCUCAGGCAAGCACUUGCAGUCAGGCAGAGCAUGCACGCUGCCAGUGCCCCCGUGCAGGGUGCUGCUGCAAAAGGGUCAGGACAGCUAAGCACUGGCUCAGUGAGGUCCUAGGACACGUAUGUGAGAGAUUCAGUUGAUGGAGAAAAGAGGCUGAGCUAUGAUAAUCAUAUCCAGAUGGAGAUGUCCCUUAUUCACUGGAUUUGUGGAAUACCACUUGUGGGAAAUGCAGGAGAAGCCCAUCUGCAGCCUCGUCGCGUCUGCUCCUCAGCCUGCUGGCAGCAAAGCGGCACGUGUUGCGUUACGGAGAGGCUUGGAGCCAGCCCUGCCUGAUACACUUGUAUGUUGCAUAUUUACAGUAUCUUGUUACAUUCCUUAUGAGUGCUGACAUCUCUGGGUGUAAUGUAUUCAGGAUCAAUAAGUGCCAUUAAAAUCUUUAUGCAUGUUGUAGUUAAGAGGUAGGGAGUGUUUGAACAAGUCCCAAGUU
RNAcentral lists this long non-coding RNA (839 nucleotides) under Anas platyrhynchos platyrhynchos (common mallard). Its description in RNAcentral is "lncRNA (ENSAPLG00000027553.1)". Lineage: Eukaryota; Metazoa; Chordata; Aves; Anseriformes; Anatidae. The record is from RNAcentral.